This 114-nucleotide small nuclear RNA is filed under the name Orbilia oligospora ATCC 24927. Its description in RNAcentral is "Arthrobotrys oligospora ATCC 24927 U5 spliceosomal RNA". It matches the Rfam family "U5 spliceosomal RNA". Rfam says of the family: U5 RNA is a component of both types of known spliceosome. The precise function of this molecule is unknown, though it is known that the 5' loop is required for splice site selection and p220 binding, and that both the 3' stem-loop and the Sm site are important for Sm protein binding and cap methylation. Lineage: Eukaryota; Fungi; Ascomycota; Orbiliomycetes; Orbiliales; Orbiliaceae. The record is from Rfam by way of RNAcentral.
AUUGGGAGUUUCUUUGCCUAAAAACAUGACAUUAUUGCCUUUUACCAUAACGUCCCAUGGGCAAGAAAAGAUCUCCACUAGCUUUAAUCUUUGGUAAACCUUGCGCGAUUGUCA